Pelobates cultripes (western spadefoot toad) is the source of this 342-nucleotide non-coding RNA. The record is from the annotation of a GenBank genome assembly. Lineage: Eukaryota; Metazoa; Chordata; Amphibia; Anura; Pelobatidae.
UGCAGGGGAUUUUCGAUUUUUUUUUUUAUAUAUAUAUAUAUAUAUUUAUUUAUUUUUUUUUAAUUGGGGUAACCCCCAAAAUAUUGAGACAUAUAAAAAAAGACAACUCUGUUCCGCAGAGUACCUAUUGACAUUAUAGUUGCACAGGCACUUUGUUGACUCUAGAGAACCUCGGGCCAAUCACACAUCCCCGUGGCAGCCACUUUGCAUGCGGAUGUCAUCUAUAUCAUCUUUCGAUGCCAGUUUCUGGGCCUACCAUGGUGACCAGGGGUAACGGGGAAUCAGGGUUCCAUUCCAUACAGGAACCCUGAGAAACGGCUACCACAUGCAAGGAAGGUAGCA